ACGGGUGAGUAAUACAUCGGAACGUGCCCUGUAGUGGGGGAUAACUAGUCGAAAGAUUAGCUAAUACCGCAUACGACCUGAGGGUGAAAGUGGGGGACCGCAAGGCCUCAUGCUAUAGGAGCGGCCGAUGUCUGAUUAGCUAGUUGGUGGGGUAAAGGCCCACCAAGGCGACGAUCAGUAGCUGGUCUGAGAGGACGAUCAGCCACACUGGGACUGAGACACGGCCCAGACUCCUACGGGAGGCAGCAGUGGGGAAUUUUGGACAAUGGGCGAAAGCCUGAUCCAGCAAUGCCGCGUGUGUGAGGAAGGCCUUCGGGUUGUAAAGCACUUUUGUCCGGAAAGAAAUGGCUCUGGUUAAUACCUGGGGUCGAUGACGGUACCGGAAGAAUAAGGACCGGCUAACUACGUGCCAGCAGCCGCGGUAAUACGUAGGGUCCAAGCGUUAAUCGGAAUUACUGGGCGUAAAGCGUGCGCAGGCGGUUGUGCAAGACCGAUGUGAAAUCCCCGAGCUUAACUUGGGAAUUGCAUUGGUGACUGCACGGCUAGAGUGUGUCAGAGGGGGGUAGAAUUCCACGUGUA
Molecule: ribosomal RNA, 579 nt
Filed under: uncultured bacterium
Lineage: Bacteria
Description: bacterial SSU rRNA
Rfam family: Bacterial small subunit ribosomal RNA
Source: RNAcentral